Molecule: long non-coding RNA, 4003 nt
Filed under: Daucus carota (carrot)
Lineage: Eukaryota; Viridiplantae; Streptophyta; Magnoliopsida; Apiales; Apiaceae
Description: long non-coding RNA (DCAR_LNC005050)
Source: RNAcentral
AAUUAUUAUGUUAAUUCUGUGCUUAAGUACAUGCAUAUAAAUCUAGGUUUAAUAAGGUUUGCUUAUGAUUUGUGUGUAAUAUUAUAUACCAGUUCUGUCUGGUCAGUACUAGCUGGGUGAUCCUCCUGUUAGACCAGAGAGAGUAAAUAUGUUGUGUGUAUAUAUUAUAUCUCAUAGUCUGUUACAGGAGGAGGUAGCCUCAAGUUUCCAACCCCCUUUCCAGAUCUACUUCUACGUUAUUUAUACUACCUGCUCAUGUGCUUGGCAUGUGUUGUGGCUUGUGGGCUUAAUCCUAAUGGGCUUCUCACUCUCGGGCUGGAGGCCCAACAUUAGUCCCCCUCCAAAGUAGUUCCAGAUCUUUAGAUGUGGAUUAGAAUAUCUUGGAAAGCGUUUUUACCGCAUGUAAUUUUUGUUGUUUGACAAGUUUAUUGUGACGCGGAGGCGGUGAGCCAUUUCUAUAAGGAGGUACAUGAGGUGGUGAGGUUGAUGGUGACCGUUGUGGCGAGGACUGUUGACUUGCAGAAAAACUUGUAUGAAGUUGGGAGGCGAUAGAAGCAAUGAAGUUGAGGAGCGGGAAACUGGAGUGAUGGUUGAUGAGAUUCUUUCGGACAAAGAGUCUCUUUCCUCUCUAGUUACUUUUUUACCAAGCAAUCGAAGCCAAUCUGAUCGUGAUAAUUGCUGAAAGAACAUGAUAGCUAAAAGAAUAAGCUGCCGAGUGAAGUAGAGGGGCUGUGAGCUCAGCAUGGAGAACCGUCUUUGGUGGUGAUAUCCAUGUUGUCACUUCUAGCUUUCAGGUUUGAUGAUUGACUUCAGCAUGAAUAGGAGGUCGUCUUGUGGAGAUUACCUCAAUUUUCAUCUAAUGGGUAUAAGAAAACACCGGAUAUGAGAGUAUGCUACCAUGCGCUAGGAUUUUGCCCUCGUUGGGGCUGUCACUUCACAAUUUUCAAGUGAGGAGUGAUGGUGGACUAUUGCAUACUAGAAAGGAAGUUAAUGCAGAUGCCUUGAUUCACAUACUAGCUUGCCCGCAAAGCGUGCUUAUCUUGGAGGUAAUGUGUUUGGGCAGAUGAAGCCUUGAGGCGUGAUACCUGAGACGGUUGUAAGGCUUUGCCUGCCAUUUAAAGGACACUCGCCGAGCUAGUGAAGCGAUGUAGUGAGGAGUCGUCAUACCUGAGACCCGUUGUAGGGCUUUGUCUACCAUUUAAAGGACGCUCGCCGAGCUAGUGAAGCGAUGUAAUGAGGAGGCAGAAAACAGAGCCACUUGGUUCAUCGGUUCAAUAUUUCAGCGCCUCAUUUUCCGAUCAGAUCUGAGAAUAUCAUCUCUCUGCUCAAACUUUUCAAGAAGCAACUAAUAGGCGUCCUCCUAUGAGGCGAGGAGCUUGCUAGCCUUGGAAGUCAUGACUAGAACUUCGAAUGUUGGAGGAGCCGAUGAACUAAGGAGGCAGAGCCGCUGAAGCGAAGAGGCUAUUCGACCUUGAAGGUCAAGGACAACUAGAGCCUAAAAUACUUUGGAAGCCGGAGAAAUAAUGAAGCAGAAUCGCUGAAGCGAAGAUGCAGGUCGUUGAACCACUUUAGCGUCCUCCAAAGUGUGACGCUUAAAGGACGAUCCAAGAGCUGGAUACUUUAAGAGCUGUAUUUUGUAUUUAAGAACACUUCAAGAGCAUGAUGUUUCAAGGGUGUGACUUUUCAAGAGCAUGACGCUUCAUGAAUUGGACGCUCAAUGAGCAAUUAAGAAUACUUCAAAUAUUGGACGCUCGAAGAGCAAUUAAGAAUGCUUCAAAAAUUGGACGCUCAAAGAGCAAUUAAGGACGCUCCAAGAGUUGUAUUUAAGGAUGCUUCACAAGCAAGACGCCUCACAAGCGGGACGCCCCACAAGCGGGGUGCCUCACAGAGGGGCGCUUCAAAAAUUGGACUCUCCAAGAGCUGAUGGAGCAAAGGACCGAAUUAUAGAGCCUUUUUAGGACUAUGCCUUUUACUUUCAAGGAUGCUCCAAGAGCUGAUGGAGCAUAGAACCGAAUCAUGGAGCCAUUUUGAGGCUAUGCCUUUUAUUUUCAAGGGUGCUCCGAGAGCUGAUGGAGCCAAGAGGCGAAUUCUAGAUUCGUGUUUUUUGGAUUCCCAUAGGGAUGUAUGUUUGUUUCCUUUGGAUGCCGUUGGGAUUCAAAUUUUUAAAUACUCCAAGAGCUGAUGGAGCGAAGAGGCGAAAUAUGUAGUCAUUUUGAGGCUAUGCCUUUUAUUUUCAAGGAUGUUCUAAGAGCUGAUGGAGCAAAGAGGCGAAUUCUAGAUUCGUGUUUUUUAGAUUCCCAUAGGGAUGUAUGUUUGUUUCCUUUGGAUCCCGUUAGGAUUCAAAUUUAUGUAUGUUCCAAGGGCUGAUGGAGCGAAGAGGCGAAAUAUGUAGUCAUUUUGAGGCUAUGCCUUUUAUUUUCAAGGAUGCUCCAAGAGCUGAUGGAGCAAAGAGGCGAAUUCUAGAUUCGUGUUUUUUAGAUUCCCAUAGGGAUGUAUGUUUGUUUCCUUUGGAUCCCGUUGGGAUUCAAAUUUAUGUAUGUUCCAAGGGCUGAUGGAGCGAAGAGGCGAAAUAUGUAGUCAUUUUGAGGCUAUGCCUUUUAUUUUCAAGGAUGCUCCGAGAGCUGAUGGAGCAAAGAGGCGAAUUCUAGAUUCGUGUUUUUUGGAUUCCCAUAGGGAUGUAUGUUUGUUUACUUUGGAUCCCGGUGGGAUUCAAAUUUUGUAUGCUCCAAGAGCUGAUGGAGUACGGAGUCAGAUUGUUGAACCUCUUGAAGGUUGUAUUUGUUACUUUUUUAAAGGACUUCAGCGCCUCAUUGACUUCACGGCUCAGCGCUUCCUUCUUCGAGUAAGAUACAUGAUAUUUCAUUUUGAGUUUUACGAAAGCUCUAGGAGCUGGUGAGCCGAUGAGCUGCUGAGCCGAUGAACUACAAGAGGCGAUAGAGCAUGGAGGCAAAUCGUUGAACCACUUGAAGGUUGUGCUAGAUACUUUCUGAAAAGUUAAAUACUAUAUCAGUUCAAUGGUUCAGCGCCUCCUUCUUCACACUCCUUUCUGCUAGGACAAUUUAAGUGGUUAAUCGGUUCAAGAGCUAAUGAACCACAACUUCCGUAGCAUAUAUCAACAGUAAAAACAUCAAUGAUUCAGGAUCAGAUUGCAAGCCUAAGUGGCUUUCGAGACACACAUCGGAUAUCUGAACUUCGCGGCGCAUAUCGUGGCGGUGCUUAGCUCCACAUCAUUGACGAAAGUAUCCAAAAAUAGAUCCAAAAAGAGAUCGGAGAGAUUGGAGGCAGUUCAGAGACGGAGAGAACGAGUCAUGACUCCGUGAUUUAGCGGUGGAUUCCAACUCGGAACUCCUGACUUUUGGAGUGCUCAGAUCUGGAGAAAUGUUCUCGUGACAUUUCGCCGGCGUUUUUUCCGGCCAGCGGGGUCCGAAGCCGUCGGGCCUUAUUCCUCACUGACCUGCAUCUCGCCGUUCUCAUCAAACAAACGCCUAGAGAAGAAAUUUGAAGGAGAAAAAAUUUAUAGGAGAAAUUUUUUUGCAGGACAUGACUUCUCGGGAACAACGAGCACCUCUCUCGUCGCCGGAUCUGGCGGCGAUUUGUAGAGCUCAUCCUCGUUUCCGGUAGUAGCCAUGCCGAUCGGAGAUAUGAGUUUUUUGGUUGGAAAAGUGAGAGCCCCUCUUCUAGCGCCAAAUGUUAGACCAGAGAGAGUAAAUAUGUUGUGUGUAUAUAUUAUAUCUCAUAGUCUGUUACAGGAGGAGGUAGCCUCAAGUUUCCAACCCCCUUUCCAGAUCUACUUCUACGUUAUUUAUACUACCUGCUCAUGUGCUUGGCAUGUGUUGUGGCUUGUGGGCUUAAUCCUAAUGGGCUUCUCACUCUCGGGCUGGAGGCCCAACACCUCCUAAAUUAUAUGAGUAUGUGAUUUGUCUAGAUGUUUUGUACGAUGAACCUCUUUGUAUGCUUGUUUAUUGUACUUUUUCUUUAGCAAUAUUGGAAUUAGAAAUUAGCA